GACAGAGGAUGCAAGCGUUAUCCGGAAUGAUUGGGCGUAAAGCGUCUGUAGGUGGCUUUUUAAGUCCGCCGUCAAAUCCCAGGGCUCAACCCUGGACAGGCGGUGGAAACUACCAAGCUGGAGUACGGUAGGGGCAGAGGGAAUUUCCGGUGGAGCGGUGAAAUGCGUAGAGAUCGGGAGGAACACCUGUGGCGAAGGCGGCCCCCUGGGCCGGCCCCUGACACUGAGAGCGCGAAGGCGUGGGGACGCGAACGGGAUUAAGAAACCCGGG
This 271-nucleotide ribosomal RNA is filed under the name uncultured bacterium. RNAcentral describes it as "partial 16S ribosomal RNA". It matches the Rfam family "Bacterial small subunit ribosomal RNA", at positions 524 to 791 of the family's 1533-position model. The record is from RNAcentral.